This is a non-coding RNA of Strigamia maritima, 71 nucleotides long. The record is from Rfam. Lineage: Eukaryota; Metazoa; Arthropoda; Chilopoda; Geophilomorpha; Linotaeniidae.
UCCCAGGUAGCUUAAUGGUAAAGAACCCAACCGGCAAUUUGGGGAUCUGGGUUCAAGUCCCAGUCCGGGCU